Molecule: ribosomal RNA, 312 nt
Filed under: Colossendeis megalonyx
Lineage: Eukaryota; Metazoa; Arthropoda; Pycnogonida; Pantopoda; Colossendeidae
Description: eukaryotic LSU rRNA
Rfam family: Eukaryotic large subunit ribosomal RNA
Source: RNAcentral
CCAAGGAGUCUGACAUGUGCGCAAGCCGUCGCGCUACUUAAGCGUCGAAGGCACAGUGAAAGCAUUGGUCGGCUUUACGCCGGCCGUAGUUGGGAUCCCCUAACCUCUCGGGGCGGGGCGCACCAACCGUCCGCCUACUCCGUACUGUUCGGUGUGGCGGAACGUGAGCGGACAUGUCGGGACCCGAAAGGUGGUGAACUAUGCCUGGGCAGGAUGAAGCCAGAGGAAACUCUGGUGGAGGUCCGUAGCGAUUCUGACGUGCAAAUCGAUCGUCAGACCUGGGUAUAGGGGCGAAAGACUAAUCGAACCACC